AACAGACGAGGAGCUUGCUCCUCUGACGUUAGCGGCGGACGGGUGAGUAACACGUGGAUAACCUACCUAUAAGACUGGGAUAACUUCGGGAAACCGGAGCUAAUACCGGAUAAUAUAUUGAACCGCAUGGUUCAAUAGUGAAAGACGGUUUUUGCUGUCACUUAUAGAUGGAUCCGCGCCGCAUUAGCUAGUUGGUAAGUGUAACUGGCUUACCAAUGCAACGAUGCGUAGCCGACCUGAGAGGGUGAUCGGCACACUGGAACUGAGACACGGUCCAGACUCCUACGGGAGGCAGCAGUAGGGAAUCUUCCCGCAAAUGGGCGAAAGCCUGACGGAGCCAACCCGCGUGGAGUGAUGAAGGUCUUCGGAUCGUAAAACUCUGUUAUUUAGGGGGAAGAACAAAUGUGUAAGUAACUAUGCACGUCUUGACGGUACCUAAUCAGAAAGCCACGGCUAACUACGUGCCAGCAGCCGCGGUAAUACGUAGGUGGCAAGCGUUAUCCGGAAUUAUUGGGCGUAAAGCGCGCGUAGCGGUUUUUUAAGUCUGAUGUGAAAGCCCACGGCUCAACCGUGGAGGGUCAUUGGAAACUGGAAAACUUGAGUGCAGAAGAGGAAAGUGGAAUUCCAUGUGUACGGUGAAAUGCGCAGAGAUAUGGAGGAACACCAGUGGCGAAGGCGACUUUCUGGUCUGUAACUGACGCUGAUGUGCGAAAGCGUGGGGAUCAAACAGGAUUAGAUACCUGGUAGUCCACGCCGUAAACGAUGAGUGCUAAGUGUUAGGGGGUUUCCGCCCCUUAGUGCUGCAGCUAACGCAUUAAGCACUCCGCCUGGGG
Molecule: ribosomal RNA, 833 nt
Filed under: uncultured Staphylococcus sp.
Lineage: Bacteria; Bacillati; Bacillota; Bacilli; Caryophanales; Staphylococcaceae
Description: bacterial SSU rRNA
Rfam family: Bacterial small subunit ribosomal RNA
Source: RNAcentral